GACGAACGCUGGCGGCGUGCUUAACACAUGCAAGUCGAACGGAAAGGCCCUGCUUUUGUGGGGUGCUCGAGUGGCGAACGGGUGAGUAACACGUGAGUAACCUGCCCUUGACUUUGGGAUAACUUCAGGAAACUGGGGCUAAUACCGGAUAGGAGCUCCUGCUGCAUGGUGGGGGUUGGAAAGUUUCGGCGGUUGGGGAUGGACUCGCGGCUUAUCAGCUUGUUGGUGGGGUAGUGGCUUACCAAGGCUUUGACGGGUAGCCGGCCUGAGAGGGUGACCGGCCACAUUGGGACUGAGAUACGGCCCAGACUCCUACGGGAGGAAGCAGUGGGGAAUAUUGCGCAAUGGGCGGAAGCCUGAUGCAGCAACGCCGCGUGCGGGAUGACGGCCUUCGGGUUGUAAACCGCUUUCGCCUGUGACGAAGCGUGAGUGACGGUAAUGGGUAAAGAAGCACCGGCUAACUAC
RNAcentral lists this ribosomal RNA (465 nucleotides) under uncultured bacterium. Its description in RNAcentral is "partial 16S ribosomal RNA". It matches the Rfam family "Bacterial small subunit ribosomal RNA", at positions 28 to 504 of the family's 1533-position model. The record is from RNAcentral.